Leopardus geoffroyi (Geoffroy's cat) is the source of this 197-nucleotide long non-coding RNA. RefSeq lists it as uncharacterized. The transcript has 2 exons. Lineage: Eukaryota; Metazoa; Chordata; Mammalia; Carnivora; Felidae. The record is from RefSeq and is a predicted model, not a curated record.
AGGGGGAGUGUCCCCACAGGCCAGCUCCUUGCUCACCUUCUCACCCCGAGGCAUCCGGAGGCCUGACCCUGAGCCCCAGCACAGAGCCCAGCAGCACCGAGCACAGCUUUGCCCAGGAGCAGUACUGUCAUGGAGACCACACAGACACUUUAAAAAUUCAACAGAAAGAUCAUCUUUCUGGUAGAAACAAACAAACA